GUUGGGGUGGCAGAAUACGGUAUUGCAAAAGACCUAAGCCCUUUACAUAGAAGUUCAAAUCCUCUCCUCAAUU
This 73-nucleotide transfer RNA is filed under the name Hippocampus nalu. RNAcentral describes it as "tRNA-Leu". It matches the Rfam family "tRNA". From Rfam's summary of the family: Transfer RNA (tRNA) molecules are approximately 80 nucleotides in length. Their secondary structure includes four short double-helical elements and three loops (D, anti-codon, and T loops). Further hydrogen bonds mediate the characteristic L-shaped molecular structure. tRNAs have two regions of fundamental functional importance: the anti-codon, which is responsible for specific mRNA codon recognition, and the 3' end, to which the tRNAs corresponding amino acid is attached (by aminoacyl-tRNA synthetases). tRNAs cope with the degeneracy of the genetic code in two manners: having more than one tRNA (with a specific anti-codon) for a particular amino acid; and 'wobble' base-pairing, i.e. permitting non-standard base-pairing at the 3rd anti-codon position. Lineage: Eukaryota; Metazoa; Chordata; Actinopteri; Syngnathiformes; Syngnathidae. The record is from RNAcentral.